This 534-nucleotide long non-coding RNA is filed under the name Capsella rubella. Its description in RNAcentral is "long non-coding RNA (CRUB_LNC001558)". The record is from RNAcentral. Lineage: Eukaryota; Viridiplantae; Streptophyta; Magnoliopsida; Brassicales; Brassicaceae.
AGUAUAGUCGAAAAAACUCUAAAUACAGUUCGCCACUUACCGGAAUACGAAAGGUCUCGAAUGUAGCAACGAAACGUCGACGAACUCACGGCGACUUCUUCUCUUCACAGCGACUAAAGGCGAGUUUGAAGACCAAAACAGAGAGAGCGUCGGCGGCGAGUACUGUGUAAAAGGCGAGUAUUGUCUUCGUCGUCGGCGGCGAGGAAGUUCUCUGUCGAGAGAGAGAAAUUUUUUUUUUUUUUUUUUUCAAUUGUAAACAGUGACGAGAAAGAAACUGUUCAGUUUCUCUUUUGAUAAUUAAUGAAAGAAUAACUGUCGAUGAUGAUGUGGCAAUUUCGGGUAUGACGUGGCAUUUUCGGAUAUGAUGUGGCAAUUUCGGGUAUGACGUGGCAUUUUCGGAUAUGAUGUGGCAAUUUUAAGAGAAAACAGACAAAGGGUGUUAAUUGUAAUUACACCCAUCCCACUAAACAUCUAAGGAAUAAAAAAAAGAUUUGGCUGUUUAAGGAAUAAACAUACAAUUGUGGUCUAUCUAAG